UUUCCGUAGGUGAACCUGCGGAAGGAUCAUUAACGAGUAAGGGUCGUUCUGGCUCGACCUCCAACCCUUUGUUUAAUUAACAUGUUGCUUUGGCGGGCCCGUUUCACGACCGCCGGAAGUCCUCGGACUUCUCCCCCGUGCCCGCCAAUAACCUUCUACAAACUCUUGAUCAAUUGUGUUGUCUGAGUAAUAAAUUUAAUAGUUAAAACUUUCAACAACGGAUCUCUUGGUUCUG
RNAcentral lists this unclassified non-coding RNA (235 nucleotides) under plant metagenome. Its description in RNAcentral is "partial contains small subunit ribosomal RNA, internal transcribed spacer 1, and 5.8S ribosomal RNA". The record is from RNAcentral.